Molecule: RNA transcript, 5690 nt
Organism: Prionailurus viverrinus (fishing cat)
Lineage: Eukaryota; Metazoa; Chordata; Mammalia; Carnivora; Felidae
Gene: NDEL1
Gene name: nudE neurodevelopment protein 1 like 1
Exons: 9
Source: RefSeq, a predicted model, not a curated record
CUCGGCCCGCCGGGCGGCCCCUGACGUGUCGGGGAGGAGCCGGGCGCCGAGGUGCGCGGAGUGGAGCUCUGGGCUGCGGAGGGGAGCGGAGCUGAGCGGCUGGGCGGGCCUGGCCAGGCCAGCGGAGCGGAGACGGCGGUCGAGCGGCGGCGAACAUGCGCUUUUGACACAUUGGAGGCUUUCUUGAUCAUGGAUGGUGAAGAUAUACCAAAUUUUUCAAGUUUAAAGGAGGAAACUGCUUAUUGGAAGGAACUUUCCUUGAAGUAUAAACAAAGCUUCCAGGAAGCUCGGGAUGAGCUAGUUGAAUUCCAGGAGGGAAGCCGAGAAUUAGAAGCAGAGCUGGAGGCACAGUUAGUACAGGCUGAACAGAGGAACAGAGACUUGCAGGCCGAUAACCAGAGACUGAAGUAUGAAGUCGAAGCACUAAAGGAGAAACUAGAACAUCAGUAUGCACAGAGCUACAAGCAGGUCUCGGUAUUAGAAGAUGAUUUAAGUCAGACUCGGGCCAUUAAGGAGCAGUUGCAUAAGUAUGUGAGAGAGCUGGAGCAGGCCAACGAUGAUCUGGAGCGAGCAAAGAGAGCAACAAUAGUGUCACUGGAAGACUUUGAACAAAGGCUAAAUCAGGCCAUUGAACGAAACGCAUUUUUAGAAAGUGAACUUGAUGAAAAGGAAUCUUUGUUAGUCUCUGUACAGCGGUUAAAGGAUGAAGCCAGAGAUUUAAGACAAGAACUGGCAGUCCGGGAGAGACAGCAGGAAGUCACCAGAAAGUCGGCGCCCAGCUCUCCGACCCUGGACUGUGAAAAGAUGGACUCUGCUGUGCAGGCGUCGCUUUCUUUGCCAGCUACUCCCGUUGGCAAAGGGACGGAAAACAGUUUUCCUUCACCCAAAGCUAUACCAAACGGUUUUGGUACCAGUCCACUAACUCCUUCCGCUAGGAUAUCAGCACUAAACAUCGUGGGGGAUCUCUUACGGAAAGUAGGGGGAAUGUUAACUGUGGGCUGAUGAACAGCGACAGCACAAAGUUCCCUCGAUCAGGACACACGUCUUUCUUUGACAAAGGGCAAGAAAAAGUCAUAUUUCCCACGUUGUUCAUGGGUAACUGAAUUUGUUUGCUGUGCUCUUUUCCUUCUUUCGCAGUCAUGGUAUAUGGUGGAAGACGCAUUAACAGAGUGGUGUUACUAACUGCAUGGGGCUGACUCUGCUUUAACCAACUUAACAGCCUGCGAGUGGCCUGUCAGGUUCCCGUUGGGCCGACUGUCCCCCUUCGUACUGGCUCGGCCGCGCAGGACAAGACAGUUGGUGGUGGCGGUCCUGGGGCCGUUGUGGCCGGCAGGCCUGUGACCCCUAUGACGUAGGGUCAGGGGUUGCGGUGAUGACGCUGGAAGUCUGGGCGAGGGGGUGGAGUGUCCCUGUCAGGCCCGGGGAUCACCUCUGAUUCGACUUCAUGGGACUAGGGUUCUUCCUGCUGCCCGGAGCCCUCUGUUUUCUCAAGGCAGGCGCCAGUGCUGGUGGGGGCUCUCUCCUCCACACUCACUCGUGUAUCCCCAAGUAUGCUGGAAUGUUCUAGACGGACUUGUGUGUGUACGAUCUGUCCUGUCAGGAAUGCACCUUUCAGUUCGCAGAGCUGCUGGGGCUCGUGUGAGCAUCCGUUCUUCUGGGAGCCUGUGCUCACGCAGCACCUCCGGCCUUCUCUCGUCCUGUCCUUGCUGCUCGGAAGGGUUCCGUCUCCGUGCUUUGUGUCUGUCACGAGAGGUUUCUUGCCCUCCUGACUAGCUCUGUCCGCCUUCUCACUUCUUCUGUUGCCAUUUUACAGCCGACCUUGGUAUCUGCCCUUAGCUAGAUUCUCCGUUUUUCAGACUCUCGAACCAGACUAUGGUGGUAAGACCAUGACAUUUCAUAGCUCCUGGAACCUUUUUGGUGUAGGUGAUUGCCAGAUCUGGUUCUCCAUCCCUGCCCGUUCCCUCUCCACUGGGACAUGUCCCUUUGGCUCUUUUGCUGCUCCUGAAACCCGAUGUGGGGGGCAGGGGGUGUUGCUUCUCUUGGAGCCUUUUCCCCACUGCACAGCUUUCUGUUCCCCAGAGGACCUCGGCAGACAGCCGCCUCCUCCUGCUCCUCCUCCCUUCCUCCUCCCCCUUCCUUUUUCCUUCCUUUGGUUUGUUUGUUUCUCUUUCUCUCUCUCUCUUCCCCUUCCUUCCUUCCUUCCCUCCCUUCCUUCCUCUUUCUUCUCCUCCUCCCCCUCGCCCCCCCACCCCCACCCGGCCUUUUACUUCCCACACCUUGACUCAGGUGCCCAGAGAGGCCCUGGCAGAUUGUUACUCUCUCUGUGCAUCAUCCUGCCUUCAAAUCAAGAAUUCGCAUUUCUGCCCACACAGAGGAAUCGCCCACCUACUUGUUUUCCUCUUAUAUUCUGGAUUGCACUGCUGCUUUCCCCGUUAGAGCUGGGCGGCAUCGGGAGCACCGGAGUUGUUGCCGAGGGCUGUCAGGUGCCCUCUGACCAGGCGCAGACAGGGCAGAGAGAAUGUGGCCUGCGCCCCCAUUGACAAGUUCACGGGGUGAGCCUAGGCUGGGCUUGGGCUUGCUUUGGUCUCUUUAGUAAUAGAACGAUAGGGACGAACUUGGCGUUUUUUAAGGUCUAUCUAGCUUGAAAAUGCAGGAACCCCAGCCCUAAACCUGCAUGUGGGGCCAUUCUCCUGGGGUUUUUGCACGUCCCUGGGGGAACAGGUGCCGGCUGCUGCUUGGUGCCCAGCGGGGCCUGUGCCGUGCUCUGGGACCGGAGUCUGGCGGUCACAUGUUUAAGGCGGAGGCCUGCCUCGUUGUUGCUGAGCGUCUAGGACUAGGAAGUGAGUCCUGGGGCCCUGGGACUGGCCGGUUGAAUGACAGCCGGGGCUUGUCCCAUGGAGGCUGCAGUGGCAGGCGGGAUGCGGCCCUGCCCUGAGGAGAGUCACAGGCAGAAUGGAGUGGGUGAUCUGAAGUUUUCACAGGUGAUGAAGCCUGGAUGUCCGCCCUCCCCGAGCCCAGAAGGAAAGGGGAGCUCCUGGGUGUGCUCGCUGGGGGAGGAAGUUGAGGUGGGGGGGGGGGGGUCACGCCUCCCAGAGCCCCUCCUCUUGCUCUUGGUCUGAGUGUACCUGGCUUGAUUCCAAAGGCAGCAUCUCUGCUCUGAGCUUGGUUACUUCAGAGUUCAGAUGUUAACUCUUUCUUCAGAGCGGUCAGGGUCAUUUGUCGUCUCUGUGCAUGCCCGUUUCUCCGAGUUGCUUCUUCAGUGUAUGAAACAAUGAACCUGUAGGGUGUGUGUGUCUGUUCUCGUUCCUUUGAAGAGAACCUCUCUCCUUGAGCCCGUGUUCAACUCCCCGGACCCCUGUGAUGAGCAGGUGGUGGCAGGGGGGGCGGGGGACAGCGAUGGCACGCAUGGCACGGUGCAGGCCCCGCGCUUGGCCGCACCUCUCAGAUCGCUAGUGGGGCGGAUUCCCCGGGAGUGUGUUCAGUAUGGAAGGGCUGCGUGGCUUCCUGAGAGAGGUUCCAGCCCUGUGAUCCUUCGCUGGCUGCUUCCUGUGGCUGUGGGGGCCGCUGGGCGGGGCUGGGGCACUCUGCACCUUCUGGGCCUGGGUGCCAGGUGCUGGCUGUAGGCUCUGGGGGCUGGGCUGGGCUGGGCACGGCACUCAGGCCUCUGCAGAGAAGCCUCCCCUGUCUGGCUCUGCUUGGGAAACAGUUUAACAGUUACUUCUUCCUCUGUCUCGUUAAGAUAUUCACGUGUAGUGUAGGAGAUUGGGAAAACAAAGAAAAAGUAUAAAGUAUUGAACAAAAUUUACCCGCUACCCAGAUGGAGGAAAAGUAACUCGUUAAAUUUUCUUUCCAUAACAUAUAUGAUUUUAUAUGCAUAUAUGUGUAGCGUCCCCCUCCCCGCACAUUCUAGCACAUUCUAGAUGUAGCUGCCUAGAAGUAACGUCCAUUUAUAUAAGAGGUUGCAGUUUAGAAUCUAGUACCUAACUACUUUUCUCCUUCACGUCGUUGAACACAUACAGGUCGGUAACUGCUCAUUCUACCUAGUGUUAAUUACAUUGAGUAUUUCCCCGUGCUAUUAAAGAAGGCUGUGGCAUGUGUCGUAUAGAAUUCAUUGUUGAGUUGCACCAUCAUUUAUUUAGCGACUUCCCCGUUGGCAGACACUCAGCCCAGCUCCGCAGGGGAGAGGUCAGGGCUGUGGCUGGCAGGAUGGAGUUGCCGAGCGGGGAGCAUGUAAUCUCGCUCCGGCACCCCCGAGUUCUCAAGGCUCUGACCGGCUGGCGCCUUCCCGGCAGCCUCUCUCCCCGGGCCCCACGAUCCUGCUGUGGGCCGGAAGGGGAGUGCCCGUAGAGGGCAUGUGCAUUUCUUGUCGGGUGUCGAGUGAUUUUAAAUGACAGUGUCUCUCUCUCCCCUCCCCUCCCCUCCCUUCCCCUCUGUGCUCUGGUCACCCCCACAGGGCAGUAAACGGCUUUGACCCAGCGCCUCCUCCUCCUGGUCUGGGCUCCUCGCGCCCGUCGUCAGCACCGGGUAUGCUGCCUCUCAGUGUGUGAGUGCCCGGCCUCCGGGUGGGGGCGCCUGCCCUCCUCCAACAGCCCAGGACACCCACGCCUCGUCCCUCUGUGCCCGGGCCCGGCCUGGGCCCCUGCGUCUGCCUCCCCACGGCUGGCAGAGGGCAGGCUGCAUGCGGCGGCGGCUGCUGGGCCCUGCCUGGCCCCAGGACUCUGCGCGAUAUCAAUACUGGCUAUUUCCUCUUCUCGCCGUGGUGCCGUUGGUCUCACAUGAUUGCACUUUUGUGGGUCACAAGGUGGCACGUCCGUGUACUCCUUGGUCACUGGAUGCAGAAGUACCCAUCAUCAUCACGCCUGCCCCAUAGCUCCCACCCAGCUGUACGGAUAGGGUUUAGUUGUGUUUAAGACAUUGCCGACCUUCUAGAAGGUCUCCCCCAGAUCAGGUCAACACGUGCCCCCGCCCCUCCCCCCCAGCUCCCGCCAGCUCCCGCCCACGCUUCUUCAGCGCUCAUGAUCGCGUGUUCUCCAGCUCCACUCCCCACCGUGUGACCUGCUGCUGGUCGGGGGUCGGGAAGGUCACCGAAUUAGGGAACAUUUUCUGCACCUUCUGAUUUUACUUUAGCGGUUAUCAUUCCAUAGACUUGCCUCCCAGAGCAGCGAAAUGCCCGUCUGGACCCCAGCUAGCGGGAGCCUCUGGGGCCGGGGCACCAUCUGCUCCUCAUCCGUGUGCCUCAGACUCGGGGUGAGGGGCGGGGGCAGCCUCCUUGCCAGCUCUCUGGUCCUUCAGUUAAGCGACAUCUUUCAGGGCGUUUUGUUUUGUCCUCUGAGGGCCUGUCCACUUGUGUUAGGAAGCGUCGAGCGGCCCCAUUCAGGGGGCUUCUGGUGGGCAGACUGGCCGUAAAUGGUUGCUCCCGAUCAUCUUGAUUACUCUCAUGCUGCAUUUACUGUUUACAUUUGUUUUAUUGUACAUAGGUUUGUAAACAUUAUCGCCUAAGAUAUUUGUAUAUAACUUGGGCUUUGUAGCUUUUAUUUAUUCAGAACUCACACGGCAUGUUAAUGACUUACGAUGGUGUCCUACUCUGGGCAGCUGCAUAGGAUCAUCAUGUGGUUAAAAGAAAAUACUUCCCCUCAAAAAAAUCUUUUAAUGUGGAAACAAUAAAUUUCACAGAAAAAACCAAACCAAAA